Molecule: non-coding RNA, 27 nt
Filed under: Mus musculus (house mouse)
Lineage: Eukaryota; Metazoa; Chordata; Mammalia; Rodentia; Muridae
Source: RNAcentral
ACAGGAGGAUGUCUUUUUGAACAUGUU